This 508-nucleotide ribosomal RNA is filed under the name uncultured bacterium. RNAcentral describes it as "bacterial SSU rRNA". It matches the Rfam family "Bacterial small subunit ribosomal RNA", at positions 28 to 528 of the family's 1533-position model. The record is from RNAcentral.
GACGAACGCUGGCGGCGUGGAUUAGGCAUGCAAGUCGAACGGUAUCAUCCUUUCGGGGGUGAGAGAGUGGCGAACUGGUGAGUAACACGUAGGUUAUCUACCCUCAAGACGGGGACAACCCAGGGAAACUUGGGCUAAUACCGGAUGUGAGCAACUUUUAGUUGUUUGAAAGGUGGCGUAAGCUGUCGCUUGGGGAUGAGCCUGCGUCCUAUUAGUUAGUUGGUGGGGUAACGGCUCACCUAGGCAAUGAUAGGUAGGCGGCCUUAACGGGUGGUCGCCCACACUGGGAUUGAGAUACGGCCCAGACUCCUACGGGAGGCAGCAGUCGAGAAUAGUCUACAAUGGUCGGAAGACUGAUAGUGCGACGCCGCGUGAACGAUGAAUCCCUUCGGGGUGUAAAGUCUUUUAUAUGUGAGCAGUGCUUCUUAUAUUAACAGUAUGGGGAGAGAGAUAUUAGCAUAUGAAUAAGCAACGGCUAACUCCGUGCCAGCAGCCGCGGUAAACUCGU